This is a small nuclear RNA of Pteropus vampyrus (large flying fox), 141 nucleotides long. Its record names the gene U4. It matches the Rfam family "U4 spliceosomal RNA". Rfam says of the family: U4 small nuclear RNA (U4 snRNA) is a component of the major U2-dependent spliceosome. The structure of U4 snRNA from yeast and human has been reported. Lineage: Eukaryota; Metazoa; Chordata; Mammalia; Chiroptera; Pteropodidae. The record is from Ensembl.
AGCUUUGCACAGUGGCAGUAUCAUAGCUAAUGAAAUGUAUUCACAGUAUGAUUAUUGCUAAUUGAAAACUUUUCCUCGUACCCUGCCAUGAUGACUUGAAAUAUAGUCAGCACUGGCAAUUUUUAAUAGUCUCUAGGAAGA